This 84-nucleotide transfer RNA is filed under the name Shimia thalassica. RNAcentral's name for it is "tRNA-OTHER". The stretch from base 23 to 81 matches the Rfam family "tRNA". Rfam says of the family: Transfer RNA (tRNA) molecules are approximately 80 nucleotides in length. Lineage: Bacteria; Pseudomonadati; Pseudomonadota; Alphaproteobacteria; Rhodobacterales; Roseobacteraceae. The record is from RNAcentral.
GCAUUUCUAAGUGUUUGAAAAGGCACCCUGCAAACUGCCCUACUAAGGCAGAGGUCAGAGGUUCGAAUCCUCUAAGGUGCGCCA